Long non-coding RNA from Ceratina calcarata, 384 nucleotides. RefSeq lists it as uncharacterized. The record is from RefSeq and is a predicted model, not a curated record. The transcript has 3 exons. NCBI's taxonomy places the organism in Eukaryota, Metazoa, Arthropoda, Insecta, Hymenoptera, Apidae.
GCAGAUUCUCUAAGCCCAAUAUGUUGAAUUUGAUCAUUGGGAAUUGAUUAGAAAAAUCAUGGCCAGCCAAAGUGUCCCCUCCUGUCAUGCCUGUAAUGAAAAUAACAAAUGUUCGAGUGGGGGGAGUCAUCGAUACUCCAGAAAUCACAAACUCUGUUCGCAACAAUCCCAGCACAAUAGCAUGCUUCUUCGCCACAUCACAGUAGCCUAUUAAUCCUCCAGGAUUAAUUUCAAACUUCUGGCCAAGGGCUUUUGCAUGAACCAUUGCCAAUGGAUGAGUCGUGGGCAUUCGACUUUUAAUAAUAAAAUCGGAUAAACAGGCAGCUGUGCGUACAAUAGUCAGGGAGUGGCGAACUCCAUGAAUGACGAACACUUACAUUUAAU